Molecule: ribosomal RNA, 529 nt
Filed under: uncultured Sordariales
Lineage: Eukaryota; Fungi; Ascomycota; Sordariomycetes; Sordariales
Description: eukaryotic LSU rRNA
Rfam family: 5.8S ribosomal RNA (bases 169-322)
Source: RNAcentral
UCCGUUGGUGAACCAGCGGAGGGAUCAUUACAGAGUUGCAAAACUCCCAACCCUUUGUGAACGAACCUUAGCAGUUGCUUCGGCGGGAGGCUCUUCAGGGAGCACACCGCCGGAGGAAUACAAACUCUUGAAUUUUUGGCAUCUCUGAGUAGCUUAUAAAUAAGUUAAAACUUUCAACAACGGAUCUCUUGGUUCUGGCAUCGAUGAAGAACGCAGCGAAAUGCGAUAAGUAAUGUGAAUUGCAGAAUUCAGUGAAUCAUCGAAUCUUUGAACGCACAUUGCGCCCGCUAGUAUUCUGGCGGGCAUGCCUGUUCGAGCGUCAUUUCAACUAUCAAGCCCCAGGCUUGUGUUGGAGCCCUGCGGCCGUCCGCAGCCUCCUAAAAGCAUUGGCGGGCUCGCUAUCACACCGAGUGCAGUAGUUUACUCUUCGCUCAGGGCGUGUGGCGGGUUCCAGCCGUGAAACCCCCCCAUUUCUAAAGGUUGACCUCGGAUCAGGUAGGAAUACCCGCUGAACUUAAGCAUAUCAAUA